Long non-coding RNA from Leopardus geoffroyi (Geoffroy's cat), 4520 nucleotides. RefSeq lists it as uncharacterized. Lineage: Eukaryota; Metazoa; Chordata; Mammalia; Carnivora; Felidae. The transcript is spliced from 2 exons. The record is from RefSeq and is a predicted model, not a curated record.
AAUGGCACCCGUUUGCCAGCCCUGUUCUAAGUUAAUAAGAUCUACUGUAUGUGUGUGAGUGCAGGUACCACUUGGAAUGUCCUCAGCUGAAAUGCUCUCAUGUUUUCAAUUUCCAUUUCAGAUGCAUCUUUUUGGGAAAACCGUUUUCUGCCCAAAGGAAAUCAGCUUUCCUGUUUUCUGUUGUUAUCAAUAUUGCUGUUUGGGUUCCCUUGAGUCGUGGAUUAAGUGGCAGCUGAGAAAUCUUGUUGGGACCACCUCUUCCCAUUGCCUUUCAAAGUGAAGUCUUGACAAGAAAUGAGUUCUUCCCAAAGCUAAGUACAUUGGAGGUUGGGUCUGGUGGUAGCUUCCUAAUGAAUUUGUGGUGCACAGAUCUGUCCUUGAGCUAUUUUCUGUAAUGUUCUCACUGCAGUGUCCCAUGACUGAUCUUAUUUCAGAGAAUUGUAUGAGUUUUGCAGCAAAUUACAAGGAAGGCCUGGUUCCUAAAAUCAGCUGAAGGCCAAUUAAGGUUUCUUGGGGCGCUUUCCUUCAGCUGCAAUGUCAUCAUAAAUGACUCUCCAGUGCAGUGGAGGGCUGACAUUUUGUAAGCUAAUACUAUAUUUUGGGAGUGAUUAAAAUCUCCAUCUCAGUCACCUGCCUGACCAACUGCCAGUGGCCACAAAACAAAAGGAUUACAGUCAAUUCAUAUCCAUUAGGAAAAUGAUGUGAAACACUAUUGGUUUAGGCUUAGUGGGGCUUAAUCUGAUUUCAGGAAGAAAGGAGAGGUGUGCAAUUAAAGGAGAGAGGAAAGGCAGAAAAGAAAAUCAAAUGAGAAUUUCCCCCCAAAACCCAAGACCUUUUUGGUUUGUUCAUUUCCAUAAGGAUUUAUUAAGUACCUGUUGAGUUCUUCCCACUAUGGUAGACCCUGAAAGGGAGGAAGGAGAAAACACUAGCAAUGCCUGUCCUCAGAAUUUGCAGUGUAGUAGGGGGGAAACACUACACACUGAGGAGGUGGCCAGAGAAUUAGCAGAUUCAUGUUAGUAGGAAUUUAAAAAUAUUCUUUAGGUGCCUGGCACAGUUGGAAAAGGAAAAGAAGAUAAGUGAGAAGGGAUAGUUGACAUCUACGUGCUCUUACUGUGUGCUUCACAUUAAGUUUUACACAUAUUAACUCACCUUUACAACAACCCUACAUACCAUUAUUAUUCCCGCUUUACGGAUGAGGAAACUGAGGCCCACAGAAGUGAAGAAACUUGCCCGAGAUCACACAGUCCGCAAGAGGAAGAGCUGGGGUUUGCAUACAGCUAGUCUGGUCCUAGAAUCUGAGGUUUUACCAUUAUUCUAUGUGGCCUCCCAAGGUGAUGGGGUAUUCCUGACCCAUGAGGAUUUUCAUUCUCCAUAGGGAGAUGAGGUCUAGGUGUGGGGAUAAUUAAGCUACAGGUAGAGGGUGUAACAGUGGAGGCAGGGAAUAGAGUGAUUGAUGACUUCAGAAAGGUGGGUGUGCUAACUGAACUCUGGACAUGGAUGUGUAUAUGUUGGGGGAAGCUCUGCACAGAGGGAUAGAGAAGGUUCUAACCCAGGAAAAGAGCACGAGCAGAGGAGACUGAAAGAAUGGCUACAAUUUGCAGUUACUUGUUUGUAGUUGUCUAAGAAGAGAAAUCAUUAAAUCAAAGGGUGCCUUCUUACAAGGACAAGGGUUUAUAGCACUGGGGACAAGAGCGAGGAUGUGGAAUCUGACAGACUAAGUUUAAAGUUCGAUUGUGUCACAUGCUCCUCAAGUGACCUUGAGAGAGUUACCUAGCCUUUAUCGGCAAAUGCAAGAUAGGAAGAAUGGCUAUAGAAGAAUUGGGAAAGUCUCUCAUCUUGUAACAGAGCUCAUUUAUUUACUUCUUCAAAAAUAUUCAUUAGGAACCAAUUACCUGCCAUGUGCUGUGCUAGAUGUUGGGACAAUGAACAAGGCAAACAUGAGUGUUGCUCUCUUAGAGCUUGUAUUCUAACUGGGGAGGCAACACAAUAAACAAGCAGUAAUCUACAGCAAGUAAUCUUAGGAUAUGACAGGGAUUUUGAAGAAAACAUAGGGUUGGGGCCAAGUAGAAUUAAUGGCUUUUACUGUGCCAAGGACAGUGUUUGUCAGGUAGGAGGCAAUCAAAACACAGGAGCUUUCAUUUUACAUUUAUUAAUAGCUCCAUCUUGAAAUUCAACAUGUAAGAGGAAGCCAAGGUAUCAGAUACUCUUUGCUGCCUACCAGGAGGGCAUUUCUCCUUUCACCUUGCUUACAGACCCCUCUUUAAUCCAAGAUUCAUCUUACCCCCACAGGCAAGGUGUUGGGGUUACAGGAAGCUCAGGAUGGAUGUCUACAUCUCCAAGGAACUAUCACUUUCUACCAAAAUGUGAGAAGAAACUCUGGAAUGCAAGUCAUGAAUGGGAACUGUUGUGUAUUCACUGCUUUCCCCCCAGUGCCCAGGACAGUUCCCAGCACAGAAUAGGGGCUCAACAAAUGUCUGUGGAAUUAUUAAACAGGUCAAUUGAAAUAAACAUGGAUAUAUUUUAGAAUCGCACAAGCAUGGCAUAAAAUUUUAAAAAUCCAAACAGAUGGCACUGUUCCUGCUGCAUUUGAAACAUGGGCUUCCUCAGACUCUGCUCUGAAAUUGCAAUGGAGGAGAAACCAGUGGUUUCAAGGAACACAAAUGCAGGGGAAGCUGGGCCAGCCUCAGCUCUACAAGGGUGGUCACCAGCUCCGGGACUGACAAGGGCCACAGUACAAGAUGGAGACAAAGUGCCGAGUUUCCAGAGGCUGUUGGUGGUGGUGAGGCCUGUACCAUGAGCGGUGUCUUCUGGAAGGUGAGAUUACCAGAGCCCAGGCACUCUGGGGACUCUUGGAGGGUCACACAGUGAAGAAGUCUGAUAAUCACCAGCCCUCUGGAGGGAAGUGGCUGAUCCACAGAAGCCUGUUCCUCUACUUUGGUCAUUGUUACGGGUCUCACUAUAAAAGCACUCAAGUAAGGAUCAGUCAGGAGGCUCAUGGUCGUUAUGAUUCCACUGUCUGCUGAGACACAAACCAAACCACUCAGAUACAAACAGCCAAAAGGUCAUGACUCUGCUCACUUCUCUGGCCUGAGUCCUGGGCCAGUGGUGACCCUCAAAGCGUUGCCCAUGCCAAAGUCUCUUACCACACUGAGUCUACCCAGAGGACCAGGGCUGUAAAUGGACUGUGGGUGAUGCUGGAUGAUUCUUUAGAGGCCAUUGGUGCUACCUCCUCGUUGUACAGAUGGGGAAACUGAAGCCAUGUAAGGGGAGAAGGGAAUUGGACAAAUCACAUGACCCACUGAUGUUAAAUUUGGACUUGAUUCUCCAUCGUAUUCUCCUUCCAACACUAAAUGUAGUUAGAAGCCUGCUUCUGCUCAGAAGAUGGAAAAUGGCCUCUGACAAUAAAAGCUGAUUUUUAACAACCAACCCAAGAAAAAUAGAAUGCUUCAGCAAGUCUUUGGCCUGGAUCCAGAGAGAUCUUAGACUGUGAAGGGAUGGAUGGAUUAACUCUUACCAUCCUCCCAUCCUGAGCUCUUUGAGCUUUUGUUUUGUUUUGUUUUGUUUGCUUGUUUUUUGUUUUUGUCACCUAUGGGGUUUGCAAAUCCACAAAUUUGGUUGUCUCCUGUCAUGUGGUUGUCACAGGAGCAUGGGCCAGCAAGAGGUUCACAUGAUGGUUUAAUCAAUACUGCAAAUAACGAUAAUAAUAGGAUAGUUAGCACAUGUGCUUACUGUACCAGAUGCCCUUCUAAGUCCUUUGCAUGUAUCAACUCAUUUAAACCUCACAACUCUUAUCAAAUCAGUUUACAAAUGAGAAAAUUGAGGCAUAGGAAGGCUAAGUAACUAGCCCAGGAUCACCUAGUUUGUAAGUGGUACAAGUGAGAUUUGAGGAUAGUAAGUCUGACUCUGGAACCAUGAUGCCUUACUGUCCUGGUUGCAGUGAGUGGCACUUUAAAACAGGGCUGUACUGUAAUUUUUUAAAAAAUCAUUGAUUACAAAUUCUGUCUCCCUGUCCUCAGGGGCUAGCAGUGGAAUGGACCCUGAAAGGUAGUGCCUUCCCUCCCCCACCUUCUCCCACAGUGCUGUGGGCAUUAAACCCUAUCUCCCCUGCCGCCCCCUCCUCUCUCCCCGCCAGGUAGUUGCCUGCUUUGGCACCUUCAGAGGCUCUUCUGCAGAGGCACCAGAGGUCACUGAUGGAUUGAGCUUUUACAUUCCCUUGGGGCAAAAUGUACAGCUUCUUGGUCCUUCAGUGGAAAAUAGCCAUUUGAACUCUCUCAACUCUAUGAAUCUCAUGAACUGGGUCUCCAGAAGCCACUUGCAUGACAGGAAACAAAUAAAAGGGGAGCCCACUCCUCUUCCCCAGAGGAGGGGUUAGAAGGCUGGAAUAAUUCAUCACAGUCCCCACCCCUCCCGCACACACACACACACACACACACCAGUGCUCCACUCUGCCAAUGGAACAUUCGUGUUGCCUCUGAAUUAUGUGCUUUUGAUUAAUUUCUAAGGAAAAAAGAUCAGCUUUG